This 465-nucleotide ribosomal RNA is filed under the name uncultured bacterium. Its description in RNAcentral is "partial 16S ribosomal RNA". It matches the Rfam family "Bacterial small subunit ribosomal RNA", at positions 338 to 795 of the family's 1533-position model. The record is from RNAcentral.
CCUACGGGAGGCAGCAGUGGGGAAUAUUGCGCCAUGGGCGAAAGCCUGACGCAGCGACGCCGCGUGAGGGAUGAAGGUCUUCGGAUCGUAAACCUCUGUCAGCAGGGAAGAACGGUCACUGUGCUAAUCAGCAGUGAAUUGACGGUACCUGCAAAGGAAGCACCGGCUAACUCCGUGCCAGCAGCCGCGUUAAUACGGAGGGUGCGAGCGUUAAUCGGAAUUACUGGGCGUAAAGCGCUCGUAGGCGGUAUGUCAAGUCAAGGGUGAAAUCCCCGCGCUCAACGUGGGAACUGCCUUUGAAACUGGCAAACUGGAGUAUGUGAGAGGAUAGUGGAAUUCCAGGUGUAGGAGUGAAAGCCGUAGAUAUCUGGAGGAACAUCAGUGGCGAAGGCGACUAUCUGGCACAUAACUGACGCUGAGGAGCGAAAGCGUGGGUAGCAAACAGGAUUAGAUACCCGAGUAGUC